Molecule: ribosomal RNA, 378 nt
Filed under: uncultured bacterium
Lineage: Bacteria
Description: bacterial SSU rRNA
Rfam family: Bacterial small subunit ribosomal RNA
Source: RNAcentral
GACGAACGCUGGCGGCGUGCUUAACACAUGCAAGUCGAGCGGUAAGGCCCUUUCGGGGUACACGAGCGGCGAACGGGUGAGUAACACGUGGGUGACCUGCCCUCAGCUCUGGGAUAAGCCUGGGAAACCGGGUCUAAUACCGGAUAUGACUCCAUGACGCAUGUUGUGGGGUGGAAAGCCUUGUGCGGCUGAGGAUGGGCCCGCGGCCUAUCAGCUUGUUGGUGGGGUGANGGCCUACCAAGGCGACGACGGGUAGCCGGCCUGAGAGGGCGACCGGCCACACUGGGACUGAGACACGGCCCAGACUCCUACGGGAGGCAGCAGUGGGGAAUCUUGCGCAAUGGGCGAAAGCCUGACGCAGCGACGCCGCGUGAGGGA